GCAUCUGUGCAUGCAGCAUAUCAAUAAGCGGAGGAAAAGAAACUAACAAGGAUUCCCCUAGUAACGGCGAGUGAAGCGGGAAGAGCUCAAAUUUGAAAUCUUAAAGGGUUUCCCUUUACGAAUUGUAGUUUAAAGAAGUGUUUUCUGUUGAGGUUUUGGUAAAAGUUCUUUGGAAUAGGACAUCAUAGAGGGUGAGAAUCCCGUAUUUGACCUUUACUUUCAACUUUGUGAUACACUUUCAAAGAGUCGGAUUGUUUGGGAAUGCAGUCCAAAAUGGGUGGUAAAUUUCAUCUAAAGCUAAAUAUUGGCGAGAGACCGAUAGCGAACAAGUACCGUGAGGGAAAGAUGAAAAGAACUUUGAAAAGAGAGUUAAACAGUACGUGAAAUUGUCAAAAGGGAAGCGUUUGACACCAGUGUUGUUUUUCUGAAAAUCAAUUAAAGAACUGUUUAUGCUAAGCUGUUUAGACUUUAUCAGCUAUCUGUUUAGUUUUGAGCUUUUCUUUAAUGCACUUUUCAGUUAACAAGUCAACAUCAAUUUCUUUUGCUGUAAAAAAGCUUGAGGAAGGUGGCUUGAGAUUCGUCUUAAGUGUUUAUAGCCUCUUGCCUAUGCAGUCGGAGAGAUUGAGGUCUGCAGCGUAGAUCCUUCGGGGCUAAAUGCAUUUGUGCUAAGUUAUAGCAUUUAUAGACAACUUGUUGACUAUGAUUUGUCUUGUAGCUUACUCGCUUAUGUUAUUUUACCUACGCUUAGGAUGUUGAGUCGUAGAGCACGCAG
Molecule: ribosomal RNA, 772 nt
Filed under: uncultured Neocallimastigales
Lineage: Eukaryota; Fungi; Neocallimastigomycota; Neocallimastigomycetes; Neocallimastigales
Description: partial large subunit ribosomal RNA
Rfam family: Eukaryotic large subunit ribosomal RNA
Source: RNAcentral